This 103-nucleotide ribosomal RNA is filed under the name Pteropus alecto (black flying fox). The record is from RNAcentral. Lineage: Eukaryota; Metazoa; Chordata; Mammalia; Chiroptera; Pteropodidae.
GUCUACGGCCAUGCCACCCUGAACAAGCGCGAUGUCUGAUCUCGGUAGCUAAGCAGGGUUGGGCCUGGUUAGUACUUGGAUGGAAGACCAGGUGCUGUAGGCA